This 867-nucleotide ribosomal RNA is filed under the name Triticum aestivum (bread wheat). RNAcentral's name for it is "partial small subunit ribosomal RNA". Lineage: Eukaryota; Viridiplantae; Streptophyta; Magnoliopsida; Poales; Poaceae. The record is from RNAcentral.
AUGAUCUUAUUAACCCAGUCACAAAAUGGUUGGGAUGAAGAGUUGGUGAGACAAACUUUGUGGCCAAUUGAUGCCUGUAGAGUACUAGCGAUCCCGAUACAUAUGCAUAAUAUGUCGGACUUUAUUGCGUGGAGCUAUAAAAACGGUUUAUUCACUGUACAAUUAGCUUAUUUGGAGGAAUUGAAUAAGCAACAUGGGAGGAAGUUGAAAUACUCAAAUGGCAUGGGCAGAAGUAACGUCAAUCCUAUUUGGGGUAAGAUCUGGAAAUUAGCUUGUCCGGCAAAGGUUAAAUUUUUUAUUUGGCGGACACUUCACGGGACCCUGCCGUGUCGCGUUACAUUAGCCAACAGACAUUUACAAACUCAGCCAAUAUGCCCAACAUGUUUGGAUGGGCCAGAAGACAUGAAACAUUUAUUAUUUCUGUGCCAGAAGGCAAAGGAAGUGUGGGAAUAUUUGGGGUUGUAUAAAGUGAUGAAAAAAGCCUGCGUCAUUGAUUGUGCAGGAGAGGCAGUCCUUGAAUUCUUACUCCUUAUGCAUGAUCAUGAAUUGCACAUCUUGGGCUCCCGAAAUGCAGGGGAACUAAUCGCUAUAGCUGCUUGAUAUUUAUGAUGGAAUAGACGGAAACUAGUCCAUGAGGGUAAGUCUCAAGAGGCGUCCCAGACCUCGAUGGGGAUUAGGGCUAUAACAGCGAACUAUGUAAAUGCCCACUCUCCUAAAGCAAAAAGAAAGAAUGAAGAAUGGUGCAGACCUCCUAGGGGGUUUGUUAAAUUGAAUGUGGAUGCUUUUUUUAAUCAUGAUCAGCUAAGAGGCACAACGGGUGCUGUUAUGAGAGAUGACAAAGGAAACUUCAUAGUAGGUGGUAACUAA